CGGGUGAGCAACGCGUGAGGAACCUGCCUCAAAGAGGGGGACAACAGUUGGAAACGACUGCUAAUACCGCAUAAGCCCACGGCUCGGCAUCGAGCAGAGGGAAAAGGAGUGAUCCGCUUUGAGAUGGCCUCGCGUCCGAUUAGCUAGUUGGUGAGGUAACGGCCCACCAAGGCAACGAUCGGUAGCCGGACUGAGAGGUUGAACGGCCACAUUGGGACUGAGACACGGUCCAA
Molecule: ribosomal RNA, 233 nt
Filed under: uncultured bacterium
Lineage: Bacteria
Description: partial 16S ribosomal RNA
Rfam family: Bacterial small subunit ribosomal RNA
Source: RNAcentral